This 503-nucleotide long non-coding RNA is filed under the name Pan troglodytes (chimpanzee). Its description in RNAcentral is "long non-coding RNA NONPTRT002465". The record is from RNAcentral. Lineage: Eukaryota; Metazoa; Chordata; Mammalia; Primates; Hominidae.
CUGGCCCGGGUGGAUGACCUUCGGCUGGUGAGGGCGCUGGAGAUGUGUGUGGACACUCGUGAGGGCAGCCUGGGGAACUUUGGGGUGCACCUGCCCAACCUGGACCAACUGAAGCUGAACGGCAGCCACCUGGGCUCCCUGAGGGACUUGGGCACGUCUCUGGGCCACCUGCAGGUGCUGUGGCUGGCUCGCUGUGGCCUCGCUGACCUGGAUGGCAUCGCCUCUUUGCCAGCACUUAAGGUGAGUCUGGGCACCCUGGGCUGGGGAGGGCUGGGCUGGGCCGGGCCCUGGCUCAGAGCCCCGCGCUGCCCAAGAACUCUACGCCUCCUACAACAACAUCUCGGACACUGAGCCCGCUGUGCCUGCUGGAGCAAUUGGAGGUGCUGGACCUGGAGGGUGACCCCGUGGAGGACCUGGGGUAGGUGCGCUACUUGCUUCUGUGCCCACGCCUGGCCAUGCUCACCCUGGAGGGCAACCUGGUGUGCCUACAGCCGGCCCCUGGC